Molecule: ribosomal RNA, 253 nt
Filed under: uncultured bacterium
Lineage: Bacteria
Description: partial 16S ribosomal RNA
Rfam family: Bacterial small subunit ribosomal RNA
Source: RNAcentral
AACGUAGGUGGCGAGCGUUAUCCGGAUUUACUGGGCGUAAAGGGUGUGCAGGCGGGCGACCAAGUGGUGUAUGAAAUCUCCCAGCUAAACUGGGAUAGGUUAUGCCAGACUGGUGGUCUAGAGUGCGAGAGAGGGGCGUGGAAUUCCGGGUGUAGUGGUGAAAUGCGUAGAUAUGCGGAGGAACACCGAUGGCGAAGGCAAUCCCCUGGGCCUGCACUGACGCUCAUGCACGAAAGCGUGGGGAGCAAACAGG